AAUUAAUUAACAACUAAAUCUGAUCAGAGUUCAAAACCUGGAAUUUGGAUCAAAUUGAUGAAUGAAAGAUGAAACAAAAUCUGCCCUGGUUGUGAAUGGAUGAAAGGUUUUCUCUUGUUUAAAACCAGGAUACAGGUUCCAAUGGAGGUUGGAACCAAAACAAAUGUGGACCUAAAAUGUUCUUUUCUCUCCCAUCAUCCACCAAAGACCAAGUUCUGAUCCAGAACCUGAGCCCAGUUGUUUGUCCCUGAGGAUCAACCAGGCAGCAGGAUGGAAAUCCCACCCAGACCUGAAGUCAGAUCCUCAGUUAGACUUUAACCAACAAGAGCAAAAUGUCAACCAAAAGCAGAAACAUUUGUGGAGCUAAAAUCAGAAAGAGAAAAAUUAAACCGUAUUCUGACUUAAAACAAGUUUAACAACAAUUCUCUAAAAUACCAUUUUCUUGGUUGACAAAUAAAUAAAAAUAUUGAACAUUUAUCAUAUUUAAAUGUAUUAAAUUUAAAAGACGUCUGCAUUGUUGUGUUUUUUUAAUAAAUUGUUCCUCCACAGAGUGAACCAGCAGAGCUCAGAGGUUCCCAACGGUCCGUCUGCACAGCAGCACCAAACACAGCUGGACUCCAUAUUUACGGAGCUGGAGCCAAACUUGGUCCUUUUUAUAAAGAACCAGCUGAAGAAGAUCCAGAAGGUUUUGAAUCCAUGUUACCCAGAAUGCUCAGAGUCAGAAGGAGGAUGAGGAGGUGGUUGAUGAUGAAGAGCAGAAGAGGAGGAGCAGCACAGAAGCUUUGCUGAAGAUCGUAGCUUUUCUUCCAGAGGAAGAUGAAUCAGGAGGAACUGGCCGAGCCUCUGCAGAGCAGGAAGAAAAGGAUUCAAAUCUCAAUUUUCAACCAAAUAACUGGAAAACAAUUA
Long non-coding RNA from Poecilia latipinna (sailfin molly), 906 nucleotides. RefSeq lists it as uncharacterized. The transcript is spliced from 2 exons. NCBI's taxonomy places the organism in Eukaryota, Metazoa, Chordata, Actinopteri, Cyprinodontiformes, Poeciliidae. The record is from RefSeq and is a predicted model, not a curated record.